CCUUGACCUUUGUGAUGAAGGAAAAAUGACAAUUCGACUAGCAGCUCCCAAAAAUACAUUAACACGGCUUUAUAUAUAUUGAACAGUCAGUUUCAUCACAAGAAUUGUUAUCAAGAGGCAGCAACAUGACGUAAAAUUAUUUUCCUCAAGAGAAAUAUUCGAGUUUCACUCACUGCUUUUGAUCUCGUUAUUCCAUUUUGUGGUGUUGUUGAAUCCGGGUUUUCUUCGUAGUGAAGUAAGGUGGAAGCAGAUAAUUUCUUGGGAUAUAAGGUUUAUCAUAUUAAUUGUGGAAGUUCUUGGAUGGACUGAGCUCUUGAACGACGUGAGGUACAGAUGCUCACGUUGGUAACCCGCCAGCUUAGGAGUCCUAUUCAGCUAUCUUGGAGAGCUCCCUUGUUCCGGAGCCUAGAUUUUGGUACAGAAUCUCUUGUAGUGUAUAUGUAUUUUAUCCAGGGGUACGGCGGGUCCCUGUCCCGUCAUAUGAUAUUGUUGUUACUCUUAGAGGUCUGUAGACAUAUGUGUGGGUUGUGUAUCGAUGUUGUUCAGUUGUGUCUAUAUGGCUUAUGUUUUGGGACG
Lycium barbarum (goji berry) is the source of this 576-nucleotide long non-coding RNA. RefSeq lists it as uncharacterized. The transcript is spliced from 3 exons. Lineage: Eukaryota; Viridiplantae; Streptophyta; Magnoliopsida; Solanales; Solanaceae. The record is from RefSeq and is a predicted model, not a curated record.